Molecule: long non-coding RNA, 467 nt
Filed under: Rattus norvegicus (Norway rat)
Lineage: Eukaryota; Metazoa; Chordata; Mammalia; Rodentia; Muridae
Description: long non-coding RNA NONRATT001564
Source: RNAcentral
CAUUUCAAAGUUUCUACCAGUGUAUCAGUGAUGGACAACAGAGAGACAUGCUGUACAGUGUUUGCCUCGUUGACAAAGCUGCUUUUGAAUGCUGGUGGUUCUGUUCCUUUGACACUACGCACGUUUAUAUGUGUUAAUGCUCUGUGACAAAAUGCUCUGACUCCUAGUGCCAAGGUUCCCUUCAGUGCACACAACUGAACACUCAUCCAUCUGUGCUUUUUUUUAAAUGGUGCUUAAAGAGCCCAUCCUUUCCAAGUCAUCCAUAUUGUUCCUUAGGCAUUUUAUCUUUGCUCAAUUGUUAAAGAAUGGUGGCUUGUUUUCAUGGUUUUUGUAUUAGUGUCUAAUGCACGUUUUAACAUGAUAGACACCAUGAUCGCAUAGCUACAAUUUUGUGGAAAAGUUAAUCUUGUAGGAGUUGUUUUUCAGAUCUUCAAUAAAUUUCUUCAUUAAAUUUCAAAAAAAAUUGU